CCAGCAAUAUAUGGCUGUACAACUUGUUCUAUUAUAUGUACAGAAGAUUAGUAUGGCCUCUGUACAAGGAUGACAUGCAAAUUCGUGAAGCGUUCCAUAUUUUU
Molecule: small nuclear RNA, 104 nt
Filed under: Salvator merianae (Argentine black and white tegu)
Lineage: Eukaryota; Metazoa; Chordata; Lepidosauria; Squamata; Teiidae
Source: RNAcentral